This 926-nucleotide ribosomal RNA is filed under the name Salmonella enterica subsp. enterica serovar Bovismorbificans. RNAcentral's name for it is "partial 23S ribosomal RNA". It matches the Rfam family "Bacterial large subunit ribosomal RNA", at positions 711 to 1556 of the family's 2925-position model. Lineage: Bacteria; Pseudomonadati; Pseudomonadota; Gammaproteobacteria; Enterobacterales; Enterobacteriaceae. The record is from RNAcentral.
AGACCCGAAACCCGGUGAUCUAGCCAUGGGCAGGUUGAAGGUUGGGUAACACUAACUGGAGGACCGAACCGACUAAUGUUGAAAAAUUAGCGGAUGACCUGUGGCUGGGGGUGAAAGGCCAAUCAAACCGGGAGAUAGCUGGUUCUCCCCGAAAGCUAUUUAGGUAGCGCCUCGUGAAUUCAUCUCCGGGGGUAGAGCACUGUUUCGGCUAGGGGGCCAUCCCGGCUUACCAACCCGAUGCAAACUGCGAAUACCGGAGAAUGUUAUCACGGGAGACACACGGCGGGUGCUAACGUCCGUCGUGAAGAGGGAAACAACCCAGACCGCCAGCUAAGGUCCCAAAGUCAUGGUUAAGUGGGAAACGAUGUGGGAAGGCCCAGACAGCCAGGAUGUUGGCUUAGAAGCAGCCAUCAUUUAAAGAAAGCGUAAUAGCUCACUGGUCGAGUCGGCCUGCGCGGAAGAUGUAACGGGGCUAAACCAUGCACCGAAGCUGCGGCAGCGAACGUAUCACUUAAAGCGAUUCAGCGGGUUACGAUUGACGGAGCGAAGCGACGUCAAAGCGUAUACAAAGUCGAGUCGGUUUAAGGAUACGUUCGUUGGGUAGGGGAGCGUUCUGUAAGCCUGUGAAGGUGGCCUGUGAGGGUUGCUGGAGGUAUCAGAAGUGCGAAUGCUGACAUAAGUAACGAUAAAGCGGGUGAAAAGCCCGCUCGCCGGAAGACCAAGGGUUCCUGUCCAACGUUAAUCGGGGCAGGGUGAGUCGACCCCUAAGGCGAGGCCGAAAGGCGUAGUCGAUGGGAAACGGGUUAAUAUUCCCGUACUUGGUGUUACUGCGAAGGGGGGACGGAGAAGGCUAUGUUGGCCGGGCGACGGUUGUCCCGGUUUAAGCGUGUAGGUGUGUGUUCCAGGUAAAUCCGGUUCACUUUAAC